AGUGAACGCUGGCGCUAGCCCUUAAACAUACAAGUCUAACUGCAUCACAGUAACAACUUGGUCGUACGAGUUGCGAUUUUCGGACUGGUGGGGAAUACAUCGGAAUCUACUUUUUCGAGGUGGAUAACGUAGAAAAACUUACGCUAAUAAAGCAUACGACCUACGGCUGAAUGCAGGAAUUCUUCCAACCUUGCGCGCUUGAAUGGGCCGAUGUCGGAUUAAGUAGUUGGCGGGGUAAAGGCCCACCAAGGCGACGAUCCGUAGCUGGUCUGAGAGGAUGAUCAGCCACACUGGAACUGAGACAAGGUCCAGACUCCUAAGGGAGGCAGCAGUGGGGAAUAUUGGACAAUGGGCGCAAGCCUGAUCCAGCCAUACCGCGUGGGUGAAGAAGGCCGUCGGGUUGUAAAGCCCUUUUGUUGGGAAAGAAAAGCAGCAGGUUAAUACCCCGCUGUUCUGACGGUACCCAAAGAAUAAGCACCGGCUAACUUCGUG
This 492-nucleotide ribosomal RNA is filed under the name uncultured bacterium. RNAcentral describes it as "partial 16S ribosomal RNA". It matches the Rfam family "Bacterial small subunit ribosomal RNA", at positions 29 to 507 of the family's 1533-position model. The record is from RNAcentral.